RNAcentral lists this ribosomal RNA (473 nucleotides) under uncultured bacterium. Its description in RNAcentral is "bacterial SSU rRNA". It matches the Rfam family "Bacterial small subunit ribosomal RNA", at positions 28 to 502 of the family's 1533-position model. The record is from RNAcentral.
GAUGAACGCUAGCGGCAGGCCUAAUACAUGCAAGUCGAACGGUAGAUUACUUUCGGGUAAUUGAGAGUGGCGCACGGGUGCGUAACGCGUAUGCAACCUACCCUAUACAGGGGGAUAGCCCGGAGAAAUCUGGAUUAAUACCCCAUGGUACCAAGUUGAGGCAUUUUGAUUUGGUUAAAGAUUCAUCGGUAUAGGAUGGGCAUGCGUCUGAUUAGCUAGUUGGCGGUGUAGCGGACCACCAAGGCGACGAUCAGUAGGGGUUCUGAGAGGAAGGUCCCCCACACUGGCACUGAGAUACGGGCCAGACUCCUACGGGAGGCAGCAGUAGGGAAUAUUGGGCAAUGGACGAGAAGUCUGACCCAGCCAUGCCGCGUGCAGGAAGACGGCGUUCUGCGUUGUAAACUGCUUUUAUCUGGGAAGAAAAGGCCCAUGCGUGGGACAUUGCCGGUACCAGAUAAUAAGCACCGCUAACU